GGUGAGUAUACAUCGGAGUGUACCUUGUAGUGGGGGAUAGCUCGGCGAAAGCCGGAUUAAUACCGCAUACGCUCUGAGGAGGAGGGCGGGGGACCUUCGGGCCUCGUGCUACGAGAGCAGCCGAUGUCAGAUUAGCUAGUUGGUGGGGUAAGAGCUCACCAAGGCGACGAUCUGUAUCUGGUCUGAGAGGACGACCAGCCACACUGGGACUGAGACACGGCCCAGACUCCUACGGGAGGCAGCAGUGGGGAAUUGUGGACAAUGGGCGAAAGCCUGAUCCAGCAGUGCCGCGUGUGUGAAGAAGGCCUUCGGGUUGUAAAGCACUUUUGUCCGGAAAGAAAUCCUUUGGGUUAAUACCUCGGGGGGAUGACGGUACCGGAAGAAUAAGCACCGGCUAACUACGUGCCAGCAGCCGCGGUAAUACGUAGGGUGCAAGCGUUAAUCGGAAUUACUGGGCGUAAAGCGUGCGCAGGCGGUUUUGUAAGACAGAUGUGAAAUCCCCGGGCUUAACCUGGGAACUGCAUUCGUGACUGCAAGGCUAGAGUAUGGC
Molecule: ribosomal RNA, 550 nt
Filed under: soil bacterium Peni-S2R-M1LLLSSL-3
Lineage: Bacteria
Description: bacterial SSU rRNA
Rfam family: Bacterial small subunit ribosomal RNA
Source: RNAcentral